GAAUCCUGUCCACCGAAUGACUAAGGUUUCCUGGGGAAGGCUCGUCCUCCCAGGGUUAGUCGGGACCUAAGCUGAGGCCGAACGGCGUAGGCGAUGGUCAACAGGUUGAUAUUCCUGUACCAGUUUCUUUUGUUUGACUGAUGGAGGGACGCAGCAGGCUAAGAUAUGCCCACUGAUGGAUGUGGGUGCAAAUAAUAAGUCUGGCGAUGAGUCAAAUGCUUAUCGCUAAGGACAAGUUAUGACGCGGAGGGAAGUACAGUACCAAAGUAUCUGACGUCACACUGCCAAGAAAAGCUUCUAGGGAGAAAGCAACUGCCCGUACCGCAAACCGACACAGGUAGUCGAGAUGAGAAUUCUAAGGUGAGCGAGCGAACUCUCGUUAAGGAACUCGGCAAAAUGACC
RNAcentral lists this ribosomal RNA (402 nucleotides) under Dolosigranulum pigrum. RNAcentral's name for it is "bacterial LSU rRNA". It matches the Rfam family "Bacterial large subunit ribosomal RNA", at positions 1325 to 1727 of the family's 2925-position model. Lineage: Bacteria; Bacillati; Bacillota; Bacilli; Lactobacillales; Carnobacteriaceae. The record is from RNAcentral.